Molecule: long non-coding RNA, 1259 nt
Organism: Helianthus annuus (common sunflower)
Lineage: Eukaryota; Viridiplantae; Streptophyta; Magnoliopsida; Asterales; Asteraceae
Exons: 3
Source: RefSeq, a predicted model, not a curated record
AGUUGUUAAUAUGUUAGCCUUUAAUCAAUACUAGUAGCCCAACCCAAUACAUAACAUUAAUAAAAAACUCAUUGAUCCUAAAUCAAUUUUGAAAGUUGAAACCCUCGAGGGUUGAACAGUACUUAAUACGCAUUGAAGUCUCCCGCUCAAACGACGACGCUUCAUUCCUCACUCCCGCUCAGAGGACGACGCUCCUGCUUCUUCUCAGGCGAAUAGGCUUCUGCUGCUCUCAGAUCAAUCAACGAUGCUUCUCCGGGUUCUCCAGUUCAAUUCAUUCAUUCCCAAACCACAAUCUGCAUCAUCAGCAGCGACACAUUGAGGGAUCAUGGCUGUUCACGGCGGCGUACAGGCGUCGCACAAGAGUGUACAGUGGUUCUCACGGCAGUAAACAACGGUCGAUCCCACAAAUUUCACGGGUUCGUUCGUAUCUCAUCGGCCGUUCACGGAUUUCACGGUGGAGCGGCAGUCGGCGUUCACGGGUUCCACGGCGGGGCAUAAGUCGGCGGUGGUGAUGGUCUGGUGGUGGUGACCAUGACAACUGUGUGUCUAGGGUUCCGGCGAGGGUACCAGUGUCUCUCAUAGUGUCUCUCAUCGACCGAUCUAGAUACAGAAUGGGACACUUGAAUGUUAUCUUGAACAACCGCAACAUCAUUGACUUGAAUCGACCGAUCUAGAUACAGAAUACACUUGAAGGUGAUCUUGAAGUCAGAGACUUGAAUCAGAGACUUGAAUCGGUGUUCCAGCGAGAAUUCGAUCAGGUAAUCUCUUUUCGUUUGCAUCUCUCCAUUUUUAUGCAGAUCGGUUCAUCGUGUAGUUAGUGGGCGAGCAUGAAGGAGAUGGGAAAUGACUGUAGGUUCACCACCGUCAAUCCAACAUCGCGGUCACAACUACAUCACCGGACCAUCCCGGAUGGGUCACUGCGGAUUGGACAUUUGAACAGUACAGGAACAGUACGCCUAUUGGCACCUAAUGGCACCCCAUAUUGGAUACCCGAUGUUGACGAUGAUCCCGAAGAAUCUGCAUACAUACAAGAAUCUGAGCAAACUCUUAGACGUUCAACCAGACCAGAAGUCCGUAAAUCAACCAACCCGACUUAUUAUUCUUGAUUGAACUAUUUACGACGAUAAAUGUUUUGCACUAUAUGUUUGUUUUCAAAUGUUUAUGAUUAUCAUCGUUAUAUUUUGUUAUCAAUUACCUAUUGUAUGUGUUAUACUUUGUUAUCAAUUACCUAUUAUAUGUAAUCGUUUCAAAUUUUAUUA